Molecule: ribosomal RNA, 466 nt
Filed under: uncultured bacterium
Lineage: Bacteria
Description: partial 16S ribosomal RNA
Rfam family: Bacterial small subunit ribosomal RNA
Source: RNAcentral
GAUGAACGCUGGCGGCGUGCUUAACACAUGCAAGUCGAACGAUGAAGCUCAGCUUGCUGGGUGGAUUAGUGGCGAACGGGUGAGUAACACGUGAGUAACCUGCCCUUAACUCUGGGAUAAGCCUGGGAAACUGGGUCUAAUACCGGAUAGGAGCGUCCACCGCAUGGUGGGUGUUGGAAAGAUUUAUCGGUUUUGGAUGGACUCGCGGCCUAUCAGCUUGUUGGUGAGGUAAUGGCUCACCAAGGCGACGACGGGUAGCCGGCCUGAGAGGGUGACCGGCCACACUGGGACUGAGAAACGGCCCAGACUCCUACGGGAGGCAGCAGUGGGGAAUAUUGCACAAUGGGCGCAAGCCUGAUGCAGCGACGCCGCGUGAGGGAUGACGGCCUUCGGGUUGUAAACCUCUUUCAGUAGGGAAGAAGCGAAAGUGACGGUACCUGCAGAAGAAGCACCGGCUAACUACGUG